Molecule: ribosomal RNA, 460 nt
Filed under: uncultured bacterium
Lineage: Bacteria
Description: partial 16S ribosomal RNA
Rfam family: Bacterial small subunit ribosomal RNA
Source: RNAcentral
CCUACGGGAGGCAGCAGUGAGGAAUAUUGGUCAAUGGACGAGAGUCUGAACCAGCCAAGUAGCGUGAAGGAUGACUGCCCUAUGGGUUGUAAACUUCUUUUAUAUGGGAAUAAAACGUUCCACGUGUGGGAUUUUGUAUGUACCAUAUGAAUAAGGAUCGGCUAACUCCGUGCCAGCAGCCGCGGUAAUACGGAGGAUCCAAGCGUUAUCCGGAUUUAUUGGGUUUAAAGGGUGCGUAGGUGGAUUGUUAAGUCAGUUGUGAAAGUUUGCGGCUCAACCGUAGAAUUGCCGUUGAUACUGGCAGUCUUGAGUACAGUAGAGGUGGGCGGAAUGCGUGGUGUAGCGGUGAAAUGCUUAGAUAUCACGCAGAACUCCGAUUGCGAAGGCAGUUCACUGGACUGCAACUGACACUGAGGCUCGAAAGUGUGGGUAUCAAACAGGAUUAGAUACCCGUGUAGUC